This 469-nucleotide ribosomal RNA is filed under the name uncultured bacterium. RNAcentral's name for it is "bacterial SSU rRNA". It matches the Rfam family "Bacterial small subunit ribosomal RNA", at positions 396 to 858 of the family's 1533-position model. The record is from RNAcentral.
GCCGCGUGCAGGAAGAAGGCCUUCGGGUUGUAAACUGCUUUUGUACGGAGCGAAAAGGCUUCCUCUAAUACAGGGGGUCCAUGACGGUACCGUAAGAAUAAGCACCGGCUAACUACGUGCCAGCAGCCGCGGUAAUACGUAGGGUGCGAGCGUUAAUCUGAAUUACUGGGCGUAAAGCGUGCGCAGGCGGUUUUGUAAGACAGGCGUGAAAUCCCCGGGCUCAACCUGGGAAUGGCGCUUGUGACUGCAAGGCUGGAGUGCGGCAGAGGGGGAUGGAAUUCCGCGUGUAGCAGUGAAAUGCGUAGAUAUGCGGAGGAACACCGAUGGCGAAGGCAAUCCCCUGGGCCUGCACUGACGCUCAUGCACGAAAGCGUGGGGAGCAAACAGGAUUAGAUACCCUGGUAGUCCACGCCCUAAACGAUGUCAACUGGUUGUUGGGUCUUUACUGACUCAGUAACGAAGCUAACGC